This 789-nucleotide long non-coding RNA is filed under the name Manihot esculenta (cassava). RNAcentral's name for it is "long non-coding RNA (MESC_LNC004317)". The record is from RNAcentral. Lineage: Eukaryota; Viridiplantae; Streptophyta; Magnoliopsida; Malpighiales; Euphorbiaceae.
CCUCCCGUGAAAUUGCUUCAAAGUGAAUACGAAUGGUUGCUUUCUUGAUGUUUGGUUCGUGCUUUAUGGGAAUGGUCUUUUCAGAGACUGGAAUGAUAAUUGUUGGGCAAGUGUUCUAUCUUUGCUGCUGAACUCUUGGCAACUUAUAAUCGUUUAAGAUAUUGAUUUGAGAAUCCCACGGAUGUGAUAACAUAGGCGUUAUGGAAGCUAUAACUGAUUGCAUCAUCUUAUUCAGGAUGCUUUGCUUCUUUACUCAAGGCUGUUUCUUCCCUUUUACAAGCGGUUCUAAAAGUUAAAAGUCACACGUAUCCCUAGAGAAUCUACUGCCGACUGGUUAGUGGACUUCGCGAAGGAUGUCCCUAGAGGCGUCGAUGUUCUGGCUUCUCCACUAGAGUUGCUGCCUUGGCUUCAAAAAGGGAUGUAGUUGGAGUUAUCUCUCUGACGUUAGUUUUUGUUUUUUUGUUGCCUUGUAUUCCUUUUAUUAUCCCAAGCAAAAAGCAAAAGUCAUAAUCACUAGGAAGCUCUUAUUGUUUUAAAAAUGAAUUAUAUACUUGAUGUUUUGUGAAUUAUUAAUUAUAUAUGUUAAUCAGUAUUUAUUACAUUAAAUAUUGAGCAAAUGAUUGAUUGUAUAGUUAUUUUAUGUUUAAUGUACUUCCUCUAUAUUUAUUUUUUCACCAUUAAAUUAAAUCGAGAUUUAUUAGUUCAUAUAAUAAUAAUUGUGAAUUAUAGGUUAUAUGGUGUGUGUAUAUAUGUAUUACAGAUUGUUGAUGCAAUUAGAUGCAGAACUAA